RNAcentral lists this ribosomal RNA (363 nucleotides) under uncultured bacterium. Its description in RNAcentral is "partial 16S ribosomal RNA". It matches the Rfam family "Bacterial small subunit ribosomal RNA", at positions 338 to 698 of the family's 1533-position model. The record is from RNAcentral.
CCUACGGGAGGCAGCAGUGAGGAAUAUUGGUCAAUGGACGGAAGUCUGAACCAGCCAUGCCGCGUGCAGGAAGACGGCUCUAUGAGUUGUAAACUGCUUUUGUACAAGGGUAAACCUGAAUACGUGUAUUCAUCUGAAAGUACUGUACGGAUAGGGAUCGGCUAACUCCGUGCCAGCAGACGCGGUAAUACGGAGGAGCCAAGCGUUAGUCGGAUUUAUUGGGUUUAAAGGGUGCGUAGGCGGAUGGAUAAGUUAGAGGUGAAAUGUCCGAGCUUAACUCGGGAAGUGCAUCUAAUACUGUUGAGCGAGAGAGUUGGUGCGGUAGGCAGAAUGGAUGGUGUAGCGGUGAAAUGCUUAGAGAUC